This 199-nucleotide long non-coding RNA is filed under the name Capsicum annuum. RNAcentral's name for it is "long non-coding RNA (CANN_LNC004990)". The record is from RNAcentral. Lineage: Eukaryota; Viridiplantae; Streptophyta; Magnoliopsida; Solanales; Solanaceae.
AUGGGUUGGAAUUGGGGUUUGAAUCGAAGAAUUACUAAUUUAGGUCUUUCGAGCCAAAAUCUCCAAAUUUUCCUUUUGAAAUCGAGUUUUAACAAGAUUUAAAUGACAAGAAUCAAAGAAAAAUAAUUGAAAUAGGGAUUUGGCACUUACCCAAGCUUUAAAAUGGAAAAAAUCGCCCCAAAACUCUAAAAUUCAAAGC